GACGAACGCUGGCGGCGUGCUUAACACAUGCAAGUCGUACGGUAAGGCCCUUUCGGGGGUACACGAGUGGCGAACGGGUGGGUAACACGUGCGUAACCUGCCCACAACUUUGGGAUAACGCUCGGAAACUGGUGCUAAUACUGGAUAUGUGCUCCUGCUGCCUGGUGGGGGUUGGAAAGCUCCGGUGGUUGUGGAUGGACUCGCGGCCUAUCAGCUUGUUGGUGGGGUAGUGGCCUACCAAGGCGGCGACGGGUAGCCGGCCUGAGAGGGUGACCGGCCACAUUGGGACUGAGAUACGGCCCAGACUCCUACGGGAGGCAGCAGUGGGGAAUAUUGCACAAUGGGCGCAAGCCUGAUGCAGCAACGCCGCGGGCGGGAUGACGGCCUUCGGGUUGUAAACCGCUUUCAGCAGGGACGAAGCUUUUUGUGACGGUACCUGCAGAAGAAGCACCGGCUAACUACGUG
This 465-nucleotide ribosomal RNA is filed under the name uncultured bacterium. RNAcentral describes it as "partial 16S ribosomal RNA". It matches the Rfam family "Bacterial small subunit ribosomal RNA", at positions 28 to 507 of the family's 1533-position model. The record is from RNAcentral.